RNAcentral lists this long non-coding RNA (335 nucleotides) under Brassica napus (rape). Its description in RNAcentral is "long non-coding RNA (BNAP_LNC018906)". Lineage: Eukaryota; Viridiplantae; Streptophyta; Magnoliopsida; Brassicales; Brassicaceae. The record is from RNAcentral.
GCGAGAAAGAUGCUAAGGGAGUCACCUUCUCCCGGAAACAGAUUAACAGAUCAAGCAUGUACUUAUUAUCUUUGUUAUUAUUGUGAAAACAGAUUAACAGUAUAAUAAUAAGCCGACAAAAGAAGUGAUGAAGCUCCUAGCGCCCACCGGUUUAUCUCGUGUUGCUGCGUGUCAAAAACAAGUGGCCGGUGUCCGUAAUUGAUCCUAAUCCGAUUUUAAAGGAAGAAAAUCGUGCGUUUUGACCAAAUAAAUACUUAAUAAAAAAUACAAUUAAAACACGAUAUUUUCCCACGUCUGUUACACUUUCGUCUUUAUUUAUUUAAAUUUACCACAAC